UAUUAAAAUUAUUCUUAAUGUAAAAAAACAUUAAUAAAUUAGAAAGACGACAAGACCCUAUUGAACUUAACUUUAGUUAAACUGGGGCAGUGAAUUAAUUAUAAUUUUAAUUUAAAUAAUUUAAAAAUAAUCAAAUAUUAUUAUAAAUAAGUUACCAUAGGGAUAACAGCGUGAUACUUUUCUAAAGUUCUUAUAUAAAUAUAAGAUUACGACCUCGAUGUUGAAUUAAAAACCUAUUUUAAGCAAAACUAUAAAAAGGAAGUCUGUUCGACUUUUAAAAAUUUACAUGAUUUGAGUUCAGACCGGUGUAAGCCAGGUCGGUUUCUAUCUUCUAUAAAAUUUUUUACAGUACGAAAGGACCAAAAAAUUUAAUU
RNAcentral lists this ribosomal RNA (374 nucleotides) under Thrandina parocula. RNAcentral's name for it is "partial 16S ribosomal RNA". The stretch from base 40 to 334 matches the Rfam family "Bacterial large subunit ribosomal RNA", at positions 2073 to 2647 of the family's 2925-position model. The record is from RNAcentral. Lineage: Eukaryota; Metazoa; Arthropoda; Arachnida; Araneae; Salticidae.